UACGUAGGGGGCAAGCGUUGUCCGGAUUUAUUGGGCGUAAAGAGCGUGUAGGCGGCUUUACAGGUCCGUUGUGAAAACUCGAGGCUCAACCUCGAGACGCCGGUGGAAACCGUAAGGCUAGAGUCCGGAAGAGGAGAGUGGAAUUCCUGGUGUAGCGGUGAAAUGCGCAGAUAUUAGGAGGAACACCCGUGGCGAAAGCGGCUCUCUGGGACGGUACUGACGCUGAGACGCGAAAGCGUGGGGAGCAAACAGG
RNAcentral lists this ribosomal RNA (253 nucleotides) under uncultured bacterium. RNAcentral's name for it is "partial 16S ribosomal RNA". It matches the Rfam family "Bacterial small subunit ribosomal RNA", at positions 524 to 776 of the family's 1533-position model. The record is from RNAcentral.